CUUUGUAGGUUAAAUAUUCAUCUCAUCAAAUACUUCCAUUCUUGAUUCUUCGACAUUCUUCACACUAGCUAGAUCUAGAUCUGUAUUCCGAUUCAUCUUGAUUAUGCUCAUCCUUCCUCGCCUUCAAGUCAAACGUAAACGUCAAUGAUAACAAAAAAGACGUUUCUAUAAAUUCUCUCAUCAAUGGGAAACUGUAAUGGCUGUCUACAGUCACGCAAGGGCGGUUACAGAGUCGAUAACGGAGCUAUCCUUAAUGAUGCUAAAACCCUAACUGAUAAGCAUAAAGGCCAAGAUCAAAGAAUGGAAUAAGCUAAAUCUAAAAUGGAUUCUCCAUCUAUGCCUUCUGUGAACGUCGAUUCUUCUCUCCGAGCUCUCGCUGGUCAAGCUGAAGGUUUCGGCCGCUCUGCCAUCGGCGGUCUUCACGGUCCACUUUAUCACGUUACUACUUUGGAAUGUCAGUUUAUUCCUGGUUUCUCUAUCUCUACAGUUCAAUUGAAGCAUGAUAAUGUUUGAUCUGAAUCUCUAGAUAGUUUAUUAUGAUUUCAUAACGAUUUCUUCUUUUGUUUAUUACGGUAAUUGAACUCGAUUGUUAUUUGUGAAUAAUUUAAUCAUUCCAUUGACACAUUUAUGGCUUACUCUGCUGGUUAGUAGCUUAAUAGCAUUAGAAUUGAUAAUCCACCAUUGAAGUUGUAUAUAUUAAGCACAAGCUUAAUGAUAUCUACAGUUGAAUUGAAGUAUAAUAUUAUUUGAUCUGAAUCUCUGGAGAGUUUAUUAUGAGUUCAUAACGAAUUCCUCUUCGGUUUGUUACAGAAAUUGAACUCAAUUGCUAUUUAUGAAUAAUUUCAUCCUUCCAUUGACAUAUUCAUGGUUUAUUCUGCUUGUUGGUAGCUUAAUAUCAUUAGAAAUGUUAAUCCACUAUUGAAGUUGUAUAUAUUAAGCACAAGCUUUAUGAUCUCUAUAGUUGAAUUGAAGCAUACUAUUCUUUGAUUUGAAACUCUCGAGAGUUUAUGAUUUCAUAACCAUUUUUUCUUCUAGCCAGUUAAUUCUGAUAAUGUUAUUGUUGGAUCUCUUUACUAUAUUCCUUUAAAUUCAGGUGCGUAUCAAUAUAAUCAUUCUUUUUGAUUUCUUGAUCUAUUAUUGCUUGAUUGAAACAUAUUUUAAUGUUUUUUACUUUUUUUUUCAAAUGUUUGCAGUUCCUAGUGAGCCAUUAUAUCCUGUAGAGAGCUUGGUACUAGUGCAUUUAUUGAUAUCUUAUAGGCUUAUUGAAUAUGAUUAUCAUUUUGUCAAUAUACUUGGAAUGAAAUUAUCAUUAGAUUUUUUUUCUCAAAUCAAUUCAGAGGCUGAAACAGAGUUCCAUAACUUCUUUCAACAAGGAUACUCUAAGAAGGUUUGCAGAAACAGUCUCAUUGGAUCCAGCAAAACAUAUGUCGUGGCUUGUUUAAAACAUUAUUUUUCUUGGUCUUAUUGGAUUCAUCGAUGGAGCAGAAGAUUGACAAGCAUAAUAAUUAUGGAUGGAGACUGCAAUAUAUUUUUGGAGCAACUUUUUCAAGUCAAUAUUGGUGCCAAUUUGAGACAAUUCAAUGUUGAGAUAUUGCUUGCCUUGUUCUGGAGGUUGCUGGAGAAAUUUUUUACUACGGUUUCAUCAGGUUUCUACAAGGUGAAAGUGGAAAAUGGAGUCACUUUCUCGGGGAACUGCUAAGCUUAAUGGUUGAAUUUAAAACAUUGUUACUAUCUGAUAAAAAUGUGCUUUUCUCAUUUUUUACAUCUGUUCUGGGCUGCUCACGCAAUAAUCUUCUAUUGCUAGAAACAAUUGGAGAAAGGUUUGAAAAAUCUAAAAAGAAUCAGAUCAUGCAUUCCAUUGUUGGCUUUUCUCUAACCUUCCUUCUUUUGCACUGCUAAACAUCCUUUCUUUGGUCAAAGGAGUGGAUGGUCAACUCUUACAUGUAAAAGAUGUUAAAAUAUUGGCUAGCAUUCUUUUGAAAAGGCGCCAUGAAUAUCAUAUUCAACAUGCAGAGUCUUGUCAAAAGUUGUCAAAGACAGAGGUUUAUAUCCUCUGCCUUCUACUAGAGACCUGUGCUGAAUUUGUAUCUUCUUCACCUGAUGAAUGUGAAGACCUACUAUUGGAGGUGUUGCAGCAGGGUGAGCCAGCCUCUAAAGAUCCAGCUGUUUUGCUGCCUUUCAUAAUUGUCUUGAGGAGUCUCACUAACUCAUCUUUUGGAGCUAUGAGUAAUAAAAAUCAGUUAUGCUUAAGUCAGAUGAUGAAGUUGAGAAUGUGAUUGCAAAAGUAUAGAAUGGAAUGUCUGAAAAAGAUGUGGUUGCAGGUCAAAAGAAAAUUAUUUCAGAGGUUGUUGGUAUGAAGGUGGGAAGACCUGUCUCUCUUUCCAAGUUUGGUACCAACUGUGGAGGCCUUUUAUUUUUUUAUUAUUGAUUAUGUUUUGUUUGUAUUUCCAGCUUUUCGAACUUAACUGCAGCUUCAAGCAAUCUGAUUUAGCUAAAAAUCAGUUAGAAAGUUUAGACAGAUGCAUGUAGAGAAGUUGUUAAAAGAAUUCAAAUAAUU
Impatiens glandulifera is the source of this 2557-nucleotide long non-coding RNA. RefSeq lists it as uncharacterized. The record is from RefSeq and is a predicted model, not a curated record. The transcript is spliced from 9 exons. Lineage: Eukaryota; Viridiplantae; Streptophyta; Magnoliopsida; Ericales; Balsaminaceae.